This is a non-coding RNA of Pelodiscus sinensis (Chinese soft-shelled turtle), 2307 nucleotides long. NCBI's taxonomy places the organism in Eukaryota, Metazoa, Chordata, Testudines, Trionychidae. The record is from RefSeq and is a predicted model, not a curated record.
CAGUGACUUUAUUGGUGUUGCUCUGGAUUGCCUUGGAAUGAGUGAUGUUAAAAUCAAACCCAUGGAUUUUUUGGUAUAGUGUUUGGGAGGACAGAGAAGGCCGGCCUGGUGGGUAUUUCUGGAGCUUGAUGUUUGCUCCAGAGCACUGGGCUCACAUGAGGGUCUAUGUGCCAUGCAGCCCCCAUAUAAACCGCUAAAGGCAAAAGAAGACUAUCCUGCCUGCAGUUAAUCCAAUUAUGUUUGGACCAUUUCAGUCUACUGUAGUUUACAAACGAUCAAAUAUCAGUACAGAGGUGAGUGGAAAUAUCUCUUCAGCUAUUUACAUCUAAGUCUGUGAAGCAAUUCAAGCCACACCCACAUACUUUUUUAACUUUAAAAAGCAACAACUACUUCCUCUCCCUCCUCCACCACCACCAAACCCAAUAUUUCUGGUUUGAUAGGUUAUCUGUUGCACAUACGGUCACAUCAGAGUUUGUGGUACUGGGGAGGUAACACAUUCACAGGAAGCAUACAUGCACAAAGCUGUGACAGUCAGAGCCAAAGGAGUAAUAGCUCUAGCAAGCAACUCAGCUAUUAAUAUUGUGGGGAAAGGUGAAACUUAAUAGAAACAGUUUAUUUUGGGGAAGAGGGGACUGAACAAGAUGAUUGUUUCUGAGCAACAAAUUCACAUGUUAUGGUCUUACAGAUUUCUAAUUUACUCUGCACAUGUGGGGUACCUAAAGAACAUGUAAACACCAGACAGAGUGUCCCAUUCCACACUAAACUUUUUGUAGGUUGGAAGACCUGUCUCAUGGGAUUAAACACAGAAGAGGACAAAGAUGCUAGCCCUACUGUAAAAAAGAGAGUAGGGUAUUGCCAUUCAGCUCUGACAUCUUAAAAGAUGCUUUUGAAAAUUCUAGUCACUGAGUCUCCUUUGGAGUCAUUUGUUACCUUCACUGUAAACAGAUUGUUUACUUGCGUAAAAUUUUCCCUAGCUGGUGGUUCUCUGGAAUCUCCUAUUCAGGGACCAGAUCCUGCUAGCCUAGCAGGCAUUGAGUAUUCAGGGGUGCUAUGAACAGGGCUAUUGACAGUCUUGGGAUUCCUUGUAGAGAAUGUUAGCGCUCAGAAGCUGCCCUUUUAUUCUCCCUUUUUUUAAAGGUCCCAAAACCCAGUAAACUUUCUUUCACUAUAUUCCACCUGUAAAGCAAUAGCUGAGAUGCUCCCAGAGUUUGGAUAUAGUCUGGGAUUUUUAAAAUAGCCUAAAACACUUAGGUACCUGAUUCCCAUAGAGAUCCCCAUUAAGAGUCUCCUAGGAACCCUAGAAAAUCCCACCAUAGUUGUCUCUCUUUGUUGAAAGGGUUUUUGAAGCUCCAUGUAUAGAACAGAUCCUACUCCUCCUAUGGUCUGCUUGGUAUCCCAGGAGAUGGAGAAAGAGCUACAUUUCAUUAGCCAAACAUGGGGAACGUAUAUAGAAGGAAAGGUGAGAAAACUAUGGGUAGAAUAAAUAUUGGGCCUAGUGGGAAGGAUAAAACCAAAGAGAAGAAAUCCUCCUCUUACCAUUCUUUUCUCCACUUGCUAUUCCUUCUGUCCCUUCAUCUUUGCUCUCUCAUUUCCUCCUAUCUUCUGCUCUACUCCACUGCCAUCUUUAUGAGUUAAACAUGCAGUUGUCACUCUUCCUUUCAGCCCACAAGUCAAACACCAGAACUGGUGCUUUCCACAUGUGGCUGGAGUUUAACAGCUAGUUAAUCCCUUAACAGCUAGGGAUUGUCUCUUUAAUAAUGCAGCCCUAGGCAUUUUGCCAGGAAGGUCAAAAACAUUUCUGGCACACACUCAAGCCAGUAUACAGGAGAGGUAUAUGCAAAGAGUGCAAAUGAGCUACCCAUAUCCCCCCGAGUAAGCGCGAGGGGGCUCCACAGCUCGAGCUCAACCCCUCUUCCUCCCGCAGCAGGAAACCGGCACUGGAGCUAAAGCUUCGCCCUCCCUUCACCCCCUGGAAGGUUGGAGGCCAGUGCCAGCUCCCAGCUAGGGGUGGGGAAGAGAGAAAGACCUGAGUCUCACUGCACAAUCUGGCUCAUGGGGAAGAAGCACUCCCCCUCCCAUGGCUGAGGGUACAGCACCACACAGAUAUGCUGCCUCAAGGUUUGCCCUGCUGCUCCCUUUGACCAGAAUCUGGCCAAUGGGAGCAGCAGGAGGCAGUGCCUGAGACCAGCGUGGGGCGCAAAGGCAAUUAAAUGGCCCCCACCCACUUGUACCCAGACACCAAUCCACCCUGUUCCUCCCCCUCCCCCAGUGGUGCUGGAGUGCCAGAGGAGUGAAGUGCAUCAAUUA